Molecule: transfer RNA, 64 nt
Organism: Cavia porcellus (domestic guinea pig)
Lineage: Eukaryota; Metazoa; Chordata; Mammalia; Rodentia; Caviidae
Rfam family: tRNA
About the family: Transfer RNA (tRNA) molecules are approximately 80 nucleotides in length. Their secondary structure includes four short double-helical elements and three loops (D, anti-codon, and T loops).
Source: Rfam
GGGGGUUUAGCUCAGUGGCAUAAGCACCUGCCUUGCAAGCAGGCGGUCGUGAGUUUAAUCCCCG